AGAGACCUGGGUUCCUCCUAGGAAAACCACAGGGAGAUCUCCUGCUUUUCCAUCCCCAUCCGCCUCCUGCUGUGGGGUCAUGAGAAGGCAGAGUAGUGGAAGGCGCUGAGAUUGAGAAUGGGAGGCAUAAUCGGGCUUCCCGUUCCAGGCUCUGCUCUAAUCUGCUGGUGGCCUUGACCAAGCCAUCUAAGCUUUCUGGGCCUCAGUGUCCCCAUCUUUCGGGAAGGGAUACCAGAACCAUUCCUGCUGUCUCCCUGCUUCCCCAGGGUGUUGGGAGGAUAAGGCUGAAAAGGGGCGAUGAUCACAGAUUCUGCUGGAGGCCUCUGACUUGGCAGGCAGUGGAGGAUAAAACUGUGAAGCUGAAGGAGGAAGCUGCCAGUGACCUGCGAUGGGUCGAGGGUACAGCUCUGGGCCUGGAAGCCGGGUUCUAGUCUGGCUCUGCCAUCUGCUCCAGGGCAAACCCCUCGCUGUCUGUGGUCUCCGUGCUCUCAUCUGUGCCCUGUGGUCAUCGGCAGGGUUAAUUAUCUGAACAGUCUUUGGACUUUGGCACACUCAAAAGAGAAAGAAGAUCUGCAAAUCAUUAAGCCAGGGAAUGGCCUUCACGAAAGAAGCAUCUGUGGGCCCGGGGCAGACGGUAUGCAGGUGCCCCCUCCGUGCAUCCGUGUGGCCUGGGCGUCGGUGGGUCAGAGAACCGGAGCAGAAGUGGCCAAGGGCUCCAGGGCCAGGAGGACGCCCGCAGGGAGCCUGCGAGUCGGUCUGGGUGGGGGGGGGGGGGGGGGGCGGGGGCGGGGGGGGCGGGGGACAGGCGCGCGGCGGUCCCCCACCCCUGUCGUCUCUACGGCUCUCCGCACGUUUUCAAAUGCUAGUGUUGGCAGUGUCCUUGAAGGGAUUGAAAGAACUCAGAACACCACCAAACAAGUCAGGGUAAUGAUGGCACUCAGUGCGACAGGGCACGUGUUCCGGAGUCCGGGAAAGCAUCUGCUGUCGUCUCCUGCCCCCCCGAUUUGUCGCCCGGGGCAAAGCCGCGUCCCGGAGCCUUCCCGCCCUGGUCA
RNAcentral lists this long non-coding RNA (1052 nucleotides) under Equus asinus (donkey). RNAcentral describes it as "lncRNA (ENSEASG00005026060.1)". Lineage: Eukaryota; Metazoa; Chordata; Mammalia; Perissodactyla; Equidae. The record is from RNAcentral.